This 253-nucleotide ribosomal RNA is filed under the name uncultured bacterium. Its description in RNAcentral is "partial 16S ribosomal RNA". It matches the Rfam family "Bacterial small subunit ribosomal RNA", at positions 524 to 776 of the family's 1533-position model. The record is from RNAcentral.
UACGGAGGGGGCUAGCGUUGUUCGGAAUUACUGGGCGUAAAGCGCACGUAGGCGGCUUUGUAAGUUAGAGGUGAAAGCCCGGAGCUCAACUCCGGAAUUGCCUUUAAGACUGCAUCGCUCGAAUCAUGGAGAGGUGAGUGGAAUUCCGAGUGUAGAGGUGAAAUUCGUAGAUAUUCGGAAGAACACCAGUGGCGAAGGCGACUCGCUGGGACGGUAUUGACGCUAAGGCGCGAAAGCGUGGGGAGCAAACAGG